UUACAGAGAUGACACAAGUUUAUGCUCAUUUAAUAAGAAACAAUGGACUAGAUCAUCGUGAGGUACACAACCGCCAUCUCGUCGACCGUAAAUCGAUAUCGCAAGAAUAGGAAUCACGUCAGAUGUAUCGAAACCUAUUGAGCACGACACGAUUCGCCAUAGGACAGUUGUAAUUUCCCGAAGGCUGCGGGCAGCUCCGAUGGUGGACCCACGAUGGGCACUUCCGUCGGCAAAUAUCAACGUUGUUUCGCGUUGUUUGCACGGCUUUCGGUUCGUUACCAGAACCAGAUGACGACACUGCCAACACAGCUUUCGUAACGACCGAGGAAUUCCGACUAUACACCUAUUUCUAGCCCCUCCAACACCGGAAUGCUGAUCUUCGGGCAUGAACAAUGAUGCAUCCUUCGGCGUACUCUAGUCGAGUCACACGGGAACCCAUCGUGCCCGUG
Molecule: unclassified non-coding RNA, 449 nt
Filed under: Bombus terrestris (buff-tailed bumblebee)
Lineage: Eukaryota; Metazoa; Arthropoda; Insecta; Hymenoptera; Apidae
Description: misc RNA ENSBTSG00005032187.1
Source: RNAcentral